RNAcentral lists this ribosomal RNA (657 nucleotides) under Escherichia coli O157:H7 str. EC4024. RNAcentral describes it as "bacterial SSU rRNA". It matches the Rfam family "Bacterial small subunit ribosomal RNA", at positions 863 to 1520 of the family's 1533-position model. The record is from RNAcentral. Lineage: Bacteria; Pseudomonadati; Pseudomonadota; Gammaproteobacteria; Enterobacterales; Enterobacteriaceae.
AGUCGACCGCCUGGGGAGUACGGCCGCAAGGUUAAAACUCAAAUGAAUUGACGGGGGCCCGCACAAGCGGUGGAGCAUGUGGUUUAAUUCGAUGCAACGCGAAGAACCUUACCUGGUCUUGACAUCCACAGAACUUUCCAGAGAUGGAUUGGUGCCUUCGGGAACUGUGAGACAGGUGCUGCAUGGCUGUCGUCAGCUCGUGUUGUGAAAUGUUGGGUUAAGUCCCGCAACGAGCGCAACCCUUAUCCUUUGUUGCCAGCGGUCCGGCCGGGAACUCAAAGGAGACUGCCAGUGAUAAACUGGAGGAAGGUGGGGAUGACGUCAAGUCAUCAUGGCCCUUACGACCAGGGCUACACACGUGCUACAAUGGCGCAUACAAAGAGAAGCGACCUCGCGAGAGCAAGCGGACCUCAUAAAGUGCGUCGUAGUCCGGAUUGGAGUCUGCAACUCGACUCCAUGAAGUCGGAAUCGCUAGUAAUCGUGGAUCAGAAUGCCACGGUGAAUACGUUCCCGGGCCUUGUACACACCGCCCGUCACACCAUGGGAGUGAGUUGCAAAAGAAGUAGGUAGCUUAACCUUCGGGAGGGCGCUUACCACUUUGUGAUUCAUGACUGGGGUGAAGUCGUAACAAGGUAACCGUAGGGGAACCUGCGGUUG